RNAcentral lists this ribosomal RNA (472 nucleotides) under uncultured Bacteroidota bacterium. RNAcentral's name for it is "bacterial SSU rRNA". It matches the Rfam family "Bacterial small subunit ribosomal RNA", at positions 30 to 497 of the family's 1533-position model. Lineage: Bacteria; Pseudomonadati; Bacteroidota. The record is from RNAcentral.
UGAACGCUAGCGGCAGGCCUAACACAUGCAAGUCGAGGGGUAACAUAGAGUGCUUGCACUCUGAUGACGACCGGCGCACGGGUGAGUAACGCGUAUACAAUCUGCCUCAUACUAGGGGAUAGCCCAGAGAAAUUUGGAUUAAUACCCUAUAGUAUCUUUUAGAGUCAUCUCUUUAAGAUUAAAGGUUACGGUAUGAGAUGAGUAUGCGUUCUAUUAGUUAGUAGGUGAGGUAACGGCUCACCUAGACCACGAUAGAUAGGGGCCCUGAGAGGGGGAUCCCCCACACUGGUACUGAGACACGGACCAGACUCCUACGGGAGGCAGCAGUGAGGAAUAUUAGACAAUGGGCGAAAGCCUGAUCUAGCCAUGCCGCGUGCAGGAUGACGGCCCUAUGGGUUGUAAACUGCUUUUAUACAGGAAGAAAAAACUCUACGUGUAGAGUCUUGACGGUACUGUAAGAAUAAGGAUCGGC